UGAAAACACAAAGGCGAAGGCGGCGGAGCAGUGGAAGUUGAACUCGCGUCAGCACUCACAUCCAGAUUCUGCAGGCAGUACCAGCAGAAGGUGUGUUUGCAGCUCUUACACAGCAUCUGCGCGCAGCCCUGGUUCCUCUCGAUGUAUAUGCCGCACAUAGGACACUGCUUGAUGGGCGUUUCAGAGAGGCUGUCGGAGCGCGCCCUGUGGACGGAGAGAUAUCGGAAACCUCUAAGGAGCGUUUGCACUUGGGGACUUUGGACUCAUAACCAGAUUCACAUCUACAAGCACACUGCGGGGACCACAGGCUGCUGCUGCUCCUGUUCAGUGGACCGACUGGGCGCGGUGCCCAUCCUUCACCUCCCUUUGGCACAGGGACGGUGGAAUUCCGACACAACUCAAAGGGACUCUGCGCUGACGUCAGUCGGCGAGGCGGAGCGGCGCGGCAGCCUAACGGUACAACAGGGACGACGCGCUGAAGGGCACUGCUGAGGAAUACUGCGCUAUUAAUAUCCAGAAGUAACGUUUGUUUCAAGACUCCGCCGGGAGACGGGGAACACAUUACUUUUUUUUAUGACCGUCAGUUGCUUUUAGAUUCAAGUGAAGGACGAGAUUCUCCACGUGAAAAUAAUAUAAUGGAUUUUUAUUUAUUUUAGAAAGGGGAGGAAUAAGAAUGAACUUUUACAGUUUCAUUU
Long non-coding RNA from Scophthalmus maximus (turbot), 695 nucleotides. RefSeq lists it as uncharacterized. The transcript is spliced from 3 exons. Lineage: Eukaryota; Metazoa; Chordata; Actinopteri; Pleuronectiformes; Scophthalmidae. The record is from RefSeq and is a predicted model, not a curated record.